AAAAUUCAAAUGAGGAAUGGAGAAGACCCUGGUAAUAUGAUAUAGCGGGUGACGAUGAUUGAGAACUAAGUGUUUAAGAGAUCAACCAUCUUGUUCUAGCUUCAUGCAAGAAUGACCUGAAAUCAGUAUUUACUGGUUACUUCCUGGAUGUUUUCUUUACCAACUUCAGCAUUGGACUAUUACUAGUGCAGGGAACAGACUUUGUCGUACAUCUAUACAAAGUUUGGCUUUUUAUUGUGUUUCCAAAAUAUGAUUAAAUGAAUUCUCAACACCCUUCCCUAAUGUUGCGGGGAAAAAGAUUAUGGCAGAAAGAAGAAGCCAAUUCUAAAAUGACAGAAAGGGCACUGUGCUUUUCAUAUUGUUAAUUCACAAGCAAGCAAGAGAGUUCUGUUCUUUUUUUGUAUAAAU
Molecule: unclassified non-coding RNA, 408 nt
Filed under: Hevea brasiliensis (rubber tree)
Lineage: Eukaryota; Viridiplantae; Streptophyta; Magnoliopsida; Malpighiales; Euphorbiaceae
Source: RNAcentral